AAAAUAUGCGUAGUUGACUGUUUGAAACGAGAAAACAAUUUCUUGCGGCUAAAACCCGCCAGAAAUUGAUCUCCCCUUUUCAAGAUUAUUUACCUCUUUCGUCCACUUCUCUCACAAGAUUUUCCAGAUUCAGACCCAAAUUUUGAGUUAAACAAUCAUCAAGAACUUUUUGUGUUAAGCGAAAAAUCAGAUUCAAGCUCAAACUUUGAAUUUUGUGAAGUCGAAGUCUUAUCGAGAGAGAGAGGUUUGUCGAGCUUGCCAACGGCGAGGUAUUCAACCAUGCACGAAUCGUAUCCCUCGUCGGUGGCAAGCAGAGCAGCGGCGCGUGAGUAUAUUCUAACUCGAGAUCGUGGAAUCGAUCUCCGCUUCCACCGCCUACUGCGCUGCCGCAGGGAUCCCCUCCAUCUUCUUCCUCCCUCGCGACCAUGCUCUUUCUCCUCCUUCCAGAUCCAUACAAUUUGCUUCUUUGUUGUCGUUCAGUACACUCACUGUAAUUUCAUUUCUUUUUGUUUGGAUUUCAAUUUAAUAUGAAACAUGGAAUGAGGAACAAUGUUAUUGGGUGGGGGUCGAAUUUACUCAUCAGAGUUGCGGAAACGGAAGUGGAAUCAAUUGGAGGAAUUCUUAAAGAGGAAAAAACAGAAGGCAGAAAGGAUUUUAAAAGUGUGCAAGUCAGACUUAGCGCGAGAAGGCUCAUGAGGAAAAGUUCAAUGCGUGUUUAAUGCACAGAUGUGCAUGCAGCGCGAAGUCGGCGUGAAAAGUAGCCUACCUCAGGCCUAUAAAAGGAGUAGGAAGAGAAGACACAUCAAGUAUGAGAGCUCUCCAGUGCAGAAAUUCAAAGCUUGAGCCUCUCCUUUAGGGGAAACCCUCUUUCCUUAGUCAUUCCCCAUUUUCUUAUUACUAGUCAUCCAAUCAUUUCUUUCAUUAAUCUCUGAAGGGUAAAGUUUUUCAUGACUAUGAGAGGUUAAACUCCUCUGUUGGAGCCUAGCAGCCAGUGCCCUUCUAAUGUAACUGCUCUUCUUAAUUAUUAAUGCAAUUUCAAUUUCAAUUUCUGUUGUUGUUU
Molecule: long non-coding RNA, 1060 nt
Organism: Glycine soja
Lineage: Eukaryota; Viridiplantae; Streptophyta; Magnoliopsida; Fabales; Fabaceae
Exons: 2
Source: RefSeq, a predicted model, not a curated record